RNAcentral lists this long non-coding RNA (232 nucleotides) under Gossypium raimondii (Peruvian cotton). RNAcentral describes it as "long non-coding RNA (GRAI_LNC010542)". The record is from RNAcentral. Lineage: Eukaryota; Viridiplantae; Streptophyta; Magnoliopsida; Malvales; Malvaceae.
GCCACUUCAUCGAAAUCAGGGAUAGCGGGGUUAAUAGGGUUAUCUCUGGGGUUAGAGCCUGAUCCGGCUUGAAAGUUCAUUGGCGUUUUGACACUGGCCUGAAAUUGCUGAGGCCUAAUUUUGACAGAGGAUUUGCGCAGGUGUACCUCAGCUUGGGUCUGCACGUGCGGAGGGGUAAAGCCGGGAGGAUAGAGAAGUCCAUCAUUGUCUCCUUCAGCAUUAGCCAUAGGGC